GCGAGCGGAUCCCCUUCGGGGGUGAUGCUCGUGGAACGAGCGGCGGACGGGUGAGUAACACGUGGGCAACCUGCCUGUAAGACCGGAAUAACCCCGGGAAACCGGGGCUAAUGCCGGGUAAUACUCUUCUCUGCAUGGAGAAGAGUUGAAAGAUGGCUUCUAGCUAUCACUUACAGAUGGGCCCGCGGCGCAUUAGCUAGUUGGUGAGGUAACGGCUCACCAAGGCGACGAUGCGUAGCCGACCUGAGAGGGUGAUCGGCCACACUGGGACUGAGACACGGCCCAGACUCCUACGGGAGGCAGCAGUAGGGAAUCUUCCGCAAUGGACGAAAGUCUGACGGAGCAACGCCGCGUGAACGAUGAAGGUCUUCGGAUCGUAAAGUUCUGUUGUUAGGGAAGAACAAGUACCGUGCGAAUAGAGCGGUACCUUGACGGUACCUAACGAGGAAGCCCCGGCUAACUACGUGCCAGCAGCCGCGGUAAUACGUAGGGGGCAAGCGUUGUCCGGAAUUAUUGGGCGUAAAGCGCGCGCAGGCGGUUUCUUAAGUCUGAUGUGAAAGCCCACGGCUCAACCGUGGAGGGUCAUUGGAAACUGGGGAACUUGAGGACAGAAGAGGAGAGUGGAAUUCCACGUGUAGCGGUGAAAUGCGUAGAUAUGUGGAGGAACACCAGUGGCGAA
This 679-nucleotide ribosomal RNA is filed under the name Bacillaceae bacterium GUDS1245. RNAcentral describes it as "bacterial SSU rRNA". It matches the Rfam family "Bacterial small subunit ribosomal RNA", at positions 62 to 719 of the family's 1533-position model. The record is from RNAcentral. Lineage: Bacteria; Bacillati; Bacillota; Bacilli; Caryophanales; Bacillaceae.